GGAAUGAGGGAUAGUGGCGAAUUGGUUAAUAAGACGUGGAUAAUGAACCCUAAAGACGGGCACAACCUGUUGAAAAACAGGCUAAUUCCCGAUAGUCCCUAUGAAGCGCAAGUUUUAUAGGGUAAAGCUUUGGCGCUUUAGGAUCAGUCUGCGGCCUAUCAGCUUGUUGGUGAGGUAAUGGCCCACCAAGGCAAUGACGGGUAGGUGGUCUGAGAGGAUGGUCGCCAACUAGGGCACUGAGACAUGGGCCCUACUCCUACGGGAGGCAGCAGUCGAGAAUCUUGCGCAAUGGACGAAAGUCCGACGCAGCGACGCCGCGUGACCGAAGAAGCUCCAUGGAGUGUAAAGGUCUUUUAUGAAGGAACAAGUUUUUAACUGAGGGUACUUCAUGAAUAAGGGGGGGCUAAUUGCGUGCCAGCAGCAGCGGUAAAACGUGACCCCCAAGCGUUAUCUGGAAUUAUUGGGCGUAAAGCGUCCGUAGGCGGCUUGAUUAGUCCAAGUUCAAAGUCUUUGGGCUCAACCUAAAGAGGGGCUUGGAUACUGUCAAACUAGAGGGUGUUAGGGGCUGAUGGAACUCACGGUGUAGGGGUGGAAUCCGUUGAUAUCGUGAGGAACACCGAAAGCGAAGGCAUUCAGCUGGAGCAACCCUGACGCUGAGGGACGAAAGCCAGGGGAGAGAAUGGGAUUAGAUACCCCAGUAUUCCUGGCUGUAAACGAUGGAUGCUAGCUAUUGCAAGUGUCGACCCUUGCAGUGGCGUAGUUAACACGUUAAGCAUCCCGCCUGGGGAGUACAGCCGCAAGGCCGAAACUCAAAGGAAUAGACGGGUACCCACACAAGCAGUGGAUCACGUGGCUUAAUUCGAUGGCAAGCGGGAAACCUUACCAAGACUUGACAUCUAUCUGAAAGCCUGCUGAAAGGCGGGCCCUCUCACAAGGACAGAUAGACAGGUGAUGCAUGGUCGUCGUCAGCAGGUGCCGUGAGGUGCUCCCUUAAAUGGGGAAACCUGCGAAACCCUUAUCUCAUGUUUUAUGUGUCAUGAGGAACUGCCCGCCUAUAGCGGGAGGAAGGCGAGGAUGACGCUAGAUCAGCAUGUCCUUUAUGUCUUGGGCUGCACACGUGAUACAAUGGUCGGUACAAAGGGCUGCCAAGCCGUAAGGCGGAGCUAAUCCUUAAAACCGAUCUCAGUCCGGAUUGGGGUCUGCAACUCGACCCCAUGAAGCUGGAAUUGCUAGUAACCGUAAAUCAGCCACGUUACGGUGAAUAUGUCUCUGGGUAUUGUACUCACCGCCCAUCACUUCAAGCGAGCUGGGGAUGCCCGAAGUCCGUACUAGUUACGGCCUAAGGUAGAUCCAGUGAGAGGGAAGAAGUUGUAACAAGGCA
Molecule: ribosomal RNA, 1381 nt
Filed under: metagenome
Description: bacterial SSU rRNA
Rfam family: Bacterial small subunit ribosomal RNA
Source: RNAcentral